This 450-nucleotide ribosomal RNA is filed under the name uncultured bacterium. Its description in RNAcentral is "bacterial SSU rRNA". It matches the Rfam family "Bacterial small subunit ribosomal RNA", at positions 354 to 796 of the family's 1533-position model. The record is from RNAcentral.
GUGGGGAAUAUUGCGCAAUGGAGGAAACUCUGACGCAGCGACGCCGCGUGGGUGAUGAAGGCCUUCGGGUUGUAAAGCCCUGUCGGCUGGGAAAAAGGUAGUCGUGCUAAUACCACGAUUGCUUGAUGGUACCAGCAAAGGAAGUAGCGGCUAACUCUGUGCCAGCAGCCGCGGUAAUACAGAGGCUACAAGCGUUGUUCGGAAUUACUGGGCGUAAAGGGCGCGUAGGCGGUUUUGUAAGUCAGAUGUGAAAUCCUGGGGCUUAACCCCAGAAGUGCAUUUGAAACUACAAAGCUAGAGUGCAGUAGAGAAUGGCGGAAUUCCCAGUGGAGAGGUGAAAUUCGUAGAUAUUGGGAGGAACACCGGUGGCGAAGGCGGCCAUUUGGGCUGUAACUGACGCUGAGGCGCGAAAGCGUGGGUAGCAAACAGGAUUAGAAACCCUAGUAGUCC